UUCUUUUUUAUAUAAUUUAAAGUAUUUCCCUGCUCUCUGAAUUUAAAAAUUUGAAUAGCUGCAGUAUACUAAUUGCACAAAGGUAGCAUAAUAAAUCGCAUUAUGAUUGAAUGCUGGAAUGAACGGGAUAACAAAAUAAAAACUGUCUCAAAUACUAAAAAUAAAUUUUAAUUUUUGGUUAAAAUGCCUAAAUAAGAAUAAGUGACGAGAAGACCCUAUAGAUCUUUACCUUUAAGGUUUUAUUGGGGCAAUAAAUUAAUAUAAAUUUAAUUUAAAAUAUCAUUAUAAAUGUAGAAUAUGAACUUUCUAUAAAUUGAAAAAAAGUUACCUUAGGGAUAACAGCGUAAUUUAAACUAUUAGCUCGUAUAAAAGUUUGAGUUUGCGACCUCGAUGUUGAAUUAAGAUUUCUAUUUAGAAGCAGAAGUUUAAAUAGUUAGUCUGUUCGACUAUUAAAAUCU
RNAcentral lists this ribosomal RNA (458 nucleotides) under Cummingsia maculata. Its description in RNAcentral is "partial 16S ribosomal RNA". It matches the Rfam family "Bacterial large subunit ribosomal RNA", at positions 1819 to 2596 of the family's 2925-position model. The record is from RNAcentral. Lineage: Eukaryota; Metazoa; Arthropoda; Insecta; Psocodea; Trimenoponidae.